UCAGGACGAACGCUGGCGGCGUGCUUAACACAUGCAAGUCGAGCGGUAAGGCCCUUUCGGGGGUACACGAGCGGCGAACGGGUGAGUAACACGUGGGUGAUCUGCCCUGCACUUCGGGAUAAGCCUGGGAAACUGGGUCUAAUACCGGAUAUGACCAAAGGCUGCAUGGCUUUUGGUGGAAAGGUUUACUGGUGCAGGAUGGGCCCGCGGCCUAUCAGCUUGUUGGUGGGGUAAUGGCCUACCAAGGCGACGACGGGUAGCCGACCUGAGAGGGUGACCGGCCACACUGGGACUGAGACACGGCCCAGACUCCUACGGGAGGCAGCAGUGGGGAAUAUUGCACAAUGGGCGAAAGCCUGAUGCAGCGACGCCGCGUGAGGGAUGACGGCCUUCGGGUUGUAAACCUCUUUCAGCAGGGACGAAGCGAAAGUGACGGUACCUGCAGAAGAAGCACCGGCCAACUACGUGCCAGCAGCCGCGGUAAUACGUAGGGUGCGAGCGUUGUCCGGAAUUACUGGGCGUAAAGAGCUCGUAGGCGGUUUGUCGCGUCGUCUGUGAAAACCAGCAGCUCAACUGCUGGCUUGCAGGCGAUACGGGCAGACUUGAGUACUGCAGGGGAGACUGGAAUUCCUGGUGUAGCGGUGAAAUGCGCAGAUAUCAGGAGGAACACCGGUGGCGAAGGCGGGUCUCUGGGCAGUAACUGAC
Molecule: ribosomal RNA, 705 nt
Filed under: Rhodococcus sp. L2357
Lineage: Bacteria; Bacillati; Actinomycetota; Actinomycetes; Mycobacteriales; Nocardiaceae
Description: bacterial SSU rRNA
Rfam family: Bacterial small subunit ribosomal RNA
Source: RNAcentral